RNAcentral lists this unclassified non-coding RNA (161 nucleotides) under sea anemone metagenome. Its description in RNAcentral is "partial contains small subunit ribosomal RNA and internal transcribed spacer 1". It matches the Rfam family "Eukaryotic small subunit ribosomal RNA", at positions 1678 to 1825 of the family's 1831-position model. The record is from RNAcentral.
GUUGUCAUCGACUGGCUGGAUAACAGAGGUCUUGGGAGACUACGGUUAGAAGUUCGCUUCUCUCCGUCCCGCAAGGGGUUGGUCAAACUUGCCCAAUGUUGUUCAGCUGAAGAUGAUAAAAGUCGUAACAAGGUUACUGUAGGUGAACCUGCAGAAGGACA